GACGAACGCUGGCGGCGUGCCUAACACAUGCAAGUCGAACGGGGUAAUCCUUCGGGGUUACUUAGUGGCGAACGGGUGAGUAACGCGUGAGAAACCUGCCUUUCAGUGGGGGACAACAGUUGGAAACGACUGCUAAUACCGCAUAAUGUUAUUUGGGGGCAUCCCUGAGUAACCAAAGAUUUAUUGCUGAAAGAUGGUCUCGCGUCUGAUUAGCUAGUUGGUGAGGUAACGGCUCACCAAGGCGACGAUCAGUAGCCGGUCUGAGAGGAUGAACGGCCACAUUGGGACUGAGAUACGGCCCAGACUCCUACGGGAGGCAGCAGUGGGGAAUAUUGGGCAAUGGGCGAAAGCCUGAUGCAGCAACGCCGCGUGAGCGAUGAAGGCCUUGGUCGUAAAGCUCUGUCCUCAAGGAAGAUAAUGACGGUACUUGAGGAGGAAGCCCCGGCUAACUACGUG
Molecule: ribosomal RNA, 456 nt
Filed under: uncultured bacterium
Lineage: Bacteria
Description: bacterial SSU rRNA
Rfam family: Bacterial small subunit ribosomal RNA
Source: RNAcentral